UGGGGAAUAUUGGACAAUGGGCGCAAGCCUGAUCCAGCCAUGCCGCGUGAGUGAUGAAGGCCCUAGGGUUGUAAAGCUCUUUCACCGGUGAAGAUAAUGACGGUAACCGGAGAAGAAGCCCCGGCUAACUUCGUGCCAGCAGCCGCGGUAAUACGAAGGGGGCUAGCGUUGUUCGGAUUUACUGGGCGUAAAGCGCACGUAGGCGGACUAUUAAGUCAGGGGUGAAAUCCCGGGGCUCAACCCCGGAACUGCCUUUGAUACUGGUAGUCUUGAGUUCGAGAGAGGUGAGUGGAAUUCCGAGUGUAGAAGUGAAAUUCGUAGAUAUUCGGAGGAACACCAGUGGCGAAGGCGACUCACUGGCUCGAUACUGACGCUGAGGUGCGAAAGCGUGGGGAGCAAACAGG
This 404-nucleotide ribosomal RNA is filed under the name Actinomycetes bacterium. RNAcentral describes it as "Actinobacteria bacterium partial 16S ribosomal RNA". It matches the Rfam family "Bacterial small subunit ribosomal RNA", at positions 355 to 776 of the family's 1533-position model. Lineage: Bacteria; Bacillati; Actinomycetota; Actinomycetes. The record is from RNAcentral.